CGCAUCUGUGCAUGCAGCAUAUCAAUAAGCGGAGGAAAAGAAACUAACAAGGAUUCCCUCAGUAACGGCGAGUGAAGCGGGAAGAGCUCAAAUUUGAAAUCUUGCAAGGUUUACCUUGACGAAUUGCUAGUUUAAAGAAGUGUUUUCUGCUUACGAUUUGGUAAUAAGUUCUUUGGAAUAGGACAUCAUAGAGGGUGAGAAUCCCGUAUGAUUGACCGAUUUGUCAGCUUUGUGAUACACUUUCAAAGAGUCGGGUUGUUUGGGAAUGCAGCCCAAAACGGGAGGUAAAUUUCUUCUAAGGCUAAAUAUUGGCGAGAGACCGAUAGCGAACAAGUACCGUGAGGGAAAGAUGAAAAGAACUUUGAAAAGAGAGUUAAAUAGUACGUGAAAUUGUCAAAAGGGAAGCGUUUAACACCAGUGUUGUUUUCUGAAAAUCAACCUCUGUUAGCUUUAUGCAUGUUUGUUUAGACCUAAUCAGCUAUCUUGCAUGUUCUAUUGUUUGCAGUGGUGCACUUUUCAGUUUACAGGUCAACAUCAGUUUUUUUUACCGUAAAAAAGUUAAAGAAAGGUAGCUCAUGGCUCCGGUCGUGAGUGUUAUAGUCUUUUUCCUAUGCGGUAGGAGAGACUGAGGUCUGCAGUGUAGGCUAUUUGGCUAGAUACUCAGGUGCUAUGUGAUACCAUUUCAUAAACAACUUGUUGAUUAUGUUUUGUCUAUUGCAUACUCGCUUGUACUAUCAUACCUACGCUUAGGAUGUUGAAGUCAUCGUAUCGCGC
Molecule: ribosomal RNA, 774 nt
Filed under: uncultured Neocallimastigales
Lineage: Eukaryota; Fungi; Neocallimastigomycota; Neocallimastigomycetes; Neocallimastigales
Description: partial large subunit ribosomal RNA
Rfam family: Eukaryotic large subunit ribosomal RNA
Source: RNAcentral